GCCGCAGACUCGUGACCCGGAGCAGCUCGGAGCCGGUGAAUAAUAGCUCUUCAAGUCUGCAAUAAAAAAUGGCCUCCAAUAAAACUACAUUGCAAAAAAUGGGAAAAAAGCAGAAUGGAAAGAGUAAAAAGGUUGAAGAGGCAGAGCCUGAAGAAUUUGUGGUGGAAAAAGUUCUGGAUCGAUGAGUAGUAAAUGGGAAGGUGGAGUAUUUCCUGAAGUGGAAGGGAUUUACAGAUGCUGAUAAUACUUGGGAACCUGAAGAAAAUUUAGAUUGUCCAGAGUUAAUUGAAGCAUUUCUUAAUUCUCAAAAAGCUGGUAAAGAAAAGGAUGGUACAAAAAGAAAAUCUUUAUCUGACAGUGAAUCAGAUGAUAGCAAAUCAAAGAAGAAAAGAGAUGCUGCUGACAAACCAAGAGGCUUUGCCAGAGGUCUUGAUCCUGAAAGAAUAAUUGGUGCCACAGACAGCAGCGGAGAAUUAAUGUUUCUUAUGAAGUGGAAAGAUUCAGAUGAGGCAGAUUUGGUGCUGGCAAAAGAAGCAAACAUGAAGUGUCCUCAAAUUGUUAUUGCUUUUUAUGAAGAGAGACUAACUUGGCAUUCUUGUCCAGAAGAUGAAGCUCAAUAAUUGUUUGCAUUGCUUUUUAUAUAUAUUUAUAUAUA
Molecule: RNA transcript, 655 nt
Organism: Nycticebus coucang (slow loris)
Lineage: Eukaryota; Metazoa; Chordata; Mammalia; Primates; Lorisidae
Gene name: chromobox protein homolog 3-like
Exons: 1
Source: RefSeq, a predicted model, not a curated record